UAAGGUUUCCUGAGGAAGGCUCGUCCGCUCAGGGUUAGUCGGGACCUAAGCCGAGGCCGAUAGGCGUAGGCGAUGGACAACAGGUAGAGAUUCCUGUACCAGUGCUAAUUGUUUAACCGAUGGGGUGACACAGAAGGAUAGGGAAUCGCACGAAUGGAAAUGUGCGUCCAAGCAGUGAGUGUGAGAAGUAGGCAAAUCCGCUUCUCGCGAAGCAUGAGCUGUGAUGGGGAAGG
RNAcentral lists this ribosomal RNA (233 nucleotides) under Listeria monocytogenes. RNAcentral describes it as "partial 23S ribosomal RNA". It matches the Rfam family "Bacterial large subunit ribosomal RNA", at positions 1346 to 1575 of the family's 2925-position model. The record is from RNAcentral. Lineage: Bacteria; Bacillati; Bacillota; Bacilli; Caryophanales; Listeriaceae.